CGGGAUGCUUUACACAUGCAAGUCGAACGGCAGCGCGAGAGAGCUUGCUCUCUUGGCGGCGAGUGGCGGACGGGUGAGUAAUAUAUCGGAACGUGCCCAGUAGCGGGGGAUAACUACUCGAAAGAGUGGCUAAUACCGCAUACGCCCUACGGGGGAAAGGGGGGGAUCGCAAGACCUCUCACUAUUGGAGCGGCCGAUAUCGGAUUAGCCAGUUGGUGGGGUAAAGGCUCACCAAGGCAACGAUCCGUAGCUGGUUUGAGAGGACGACCAGCCACACUGGGACUGAGACACGGCCCAGACUCCUACGGGAGGCAGCAGUGGGGAAUUUUGGACAAUGGGGGAAACCCUGAUCCAGCCAUCCCGCGUGUAUGAUGAAGGCCUUCGGGUUGUAAAGUACUUUUGGCAGAGAAGAAAAGGUAUCUCCUAAUACGAGAUACUGCUGACGGUAUCUGCAGAAUAAGCACCGGCUAACUACGUGCCAGCAGCCGCGGUAAUACGUAGGGUGCAAGCGUUAAUCGGAAUUACUGGGCGUAAAGCGUGUGUAGGCGGUUCGGAAAGAAAGAUGUGAAAUCCCAGGGCUCAACCUUGGAACUGCAUUUUUAACUGCCGAGCUAGAGUAUGUCAGAGGGGGGUAGAAUUCCACGUGUAGCAGUGAAAUGCGUAGAUAUGUGGAGGAAUACCGAUGGCGAAGGCAGCCCCCUGUGAUAAUACUGACGCUCAGACACGAAA
Molecule: ribosomal RNA, 729 nt
Filed under: uncultured soil bacterium
Lineage: Bacteria
Description: bacterial SSU rRNA
Rfam family: Bacterial small subunit ribosomal RNA
Source: RNAcentral